Molecule: ribosomal RNA, 1895 nt
Filed under: Klebsiella pneumoniae BIDMC 68
Lineage: Bacteria; Pseudomonadati; Pseudomonadota; Gammaproteobacteria; Enterobacterales; Enterobacteriaceae
Description: bacterial LSU rRNA
Rfam family: Bacterial large subunit ribosomal RNA
Source: RNAcentral
AGUCAUGGUUAAGUGGGAAACGAUGUGGGAAGGCACAGACAGCCAGGAUGUUGGCUUAGAAGCAGCCAUCAUUUAAAGAAAGCGUAAUAGCUCACUGGUCGAGUCGGCCUGCGCGGAAGAUGUAACGGGGCUAAACCAUGCACCGAAGCUGCGGCAGCGACACUAUGUGUUGUUGGGUAGGGGAGCGUUCUGUAAGCCUGCGAAGGUGACCUGUGAGGGUUGCUGGAGGUAUCAGAAGUGCGAAUGCUGACAUAAGUAACGAUAAAGCGGGUGAAAAGCCCGCUCGCCGGAAGACCAAGGGUUCCUGUCCAACGUUAAUCGGGGCAGGGUGAGUCGACCCCUAAGGCGAGGCCGAAAGGCGUAGUCGAUGGGAAACAGGUUAAUAUUCCUGUACUUGGUGUUACUGCGAAGGGGGGACGGAGAAGGCUAUGUUAGCCGGGCGACGGUUGUCCCGGUUUAAGCAUGUAGGCUGGUUAUCCAGGCAAAUCCGGAUAAUCAAGGCUGAGGUGUGAUGACGAGGCACUACGGUGCUGAAGUAACAAAUGCCCUGCUUCCAGGAAAAGCCUCUAAGCAUCAGGUAACAUCAAAUCGUACCCCAAACCGACACAGGUGGUCAGGUAGAGAAUACCAAGGCGCUUGAGAGAACUCGGGUGAAGGAACUAGGCAAAAUGGUGCCGUAACUUCGGGAGAAGGCACGCUGGUGUGUAGGUGAAGCCCCUGCGGGUGGAGCUGAGACCAGUCGAAGAUACCAGCUGGCUGCAACUGUUUAUUAAAAACACAGCACUGUGCAAACACGAAAGUGGACGUAUACGGUGUGACGCCUGCCCGGUGCCGGAAGGUUAAUUGAUGGGGUUAUCCGUAAGGAGAAGCUCUUGAUCGAAGCCCCGGUAAACGGCGGCCGUAACUAUAACGGUCCUAAGGUAGCGAAAUUCCUUGUCGGGUAAGUUCCGACCUGCACGAAUGGCGUAAUGAUGGCCAGGCUGUCUCCACCCGAGACUCAGUGAAAUUGAACUCGCUGUGAAGAUGCAGUGUACCCGCGGCAAGACGGAAAGACCCCGUGAACCUUUACUAUAGCUUGACACUGAACAUUGAGCCUUGAUGUGUAGGAUAGGUGGGAGGCUUUGAAGCGUGGACGCCAGUCUGCGUGGAGCCAACCUUGAAAUACCACCCUUUAAUGUUUGAUGUUCUAACGUUGGCCCCUUACCGGGGUUGCGGACAGUGUCUGGUGGGUAGUUUGACUGGGGCGGUCUCCUCCCAAAGCGUAACGGAGGAGCACGAAGGUUAGCUAAUCCUGGUCGGACAUCAGGAGGUUAGUGCAAUGGCAUAAGCUAGCUUGACUGCGAGCGUGACGGCGCGAGCAGGUGCGAAAGCAGGUCAUAGUGAUCCGGUGGUUCUGAAUGGAAGGGCCAUCGCUCAACGGAUAAAAGGUACUCCGGGGAUAACAGGCUGAUACCGCCCAAGAGUUCAUAUCGACGGCGGUGUUUGGCACCUCGAUGUCGGCUCAUCACAUCCUGGGGCUGAAGUAGGUCCCAAGGGUAUGGCUGUUCGCCAUUUAAAGUGGUACGCGAGCUGGGUUUAGAACGUCGUGAGACAGUUCGGUCCCUAUCUGCCGUGGGCGCUGGAGAAUUGAGGGGGGCUGCUCCUAGUACGAGAGGACCGGAGUGGACGCAUCACUGGUGUUCGGGUUGUCAUGCCAAUGGCACUGCCCGGUAGCUAAAUGCGGAAGAGAUAAGUGCUGAAAGCAUCUAAGCACGAAACUUGCCCCGAGAUGAGUUCUCCCUGAGACUUUAAGUCUCCUGAAGGAACGUUGAAGACGACGACGUUGAUAGGCCGGGUGUGUAAGCGCAGCGAUGCGUUGAGCUAACCGGUACUAAUGAACCGUGAGGCUUAACCUU